UUAAACUAACAUAUUCAUCGUGCUGUAACGAGGUUUCUGUAAGGCAGAAUAAAUCAAUAUGUUGAUCAAUUAUAUAUCAUUUACUAACAGGGACUUAGAAGAGAGAGACCUAAUGUAGAACAGGUAGCUCGGUGGGAUAAGGAGCUGGGCUACAAAAUAUUGACCUGGGCUUGAUUCCAGGUCACUCUACCCGUCUGUAUCUUCGGACAACACGUGUAUUUUCCCUGUCCACCCAGCUUUUGAAAUAGGUGCCAGCCUUGGCUGUGACGUAACCUACAUUGGGCUGGCGUUCCCUCCAGAAUACUUAGAGAAGUAGUGGCACCAGUAGGCCACAGGGCCUGUUGUAAGUUCACCUGAAUGGACCUUCUGUUCAGACUGUCAAGGUAAAGUAUACCAUUAAGACUGACUGCACGUGGCCUGCCUCUUUAAUUGUUGGGGAUCCACAAAAGUCUGAAAUACUGAAAAAAAAAGAAUAACUUUGACGAUACAGUAUCUCAAUUUCACACACAAUCUUCCAGGUGGAUGACCUGUUUUCAGCCACGAUGACAAAGAUGCUUCACUACCUUAUGAAUGCAAUAAAAAUCUAAUGAAUUGUCAGAAAACGCACCUUCUCACUCCCAACUCCAAACAUUGAUGAGUAGGUUAGCCCAGUGGCUCAUUUACUCACGACGGCACACUGAACUAGCGUUCAAAAUGAGCGUUUGCAUUAAAAUGCGACAACUUGGAUGUGAGACUGGGUGACAGAAAACCAACCCCGAAAUGCGCACAGACAUUCCCCCACUUCAGCUUCACAAUCCACUGACGACAUUCAUAACAUUGAGGUUUAGCAGAGAAUUUAAACCCAGUGCACUUAGAUAAUGUCAUUAAAGUUGUUUCUUUUUGUUCCUGUUUGACCUAUAGUGCUGAAAUUGAUGCUUAUUAAAUCUUUUGUGUGUGAGGAGAGAUUAAAAAAAAAUUUAAAGGCACGGCCGUCAGUCACGAUCAAUAAAAAGUAGAAGAUGAUGCAAACUGUCCUUGGAUGCAGUUAUCUAAAUGUAAAUCUUUGUGGCGCAUCAGACCCGUGCACCACCGUGGCGGAUGAGAUUCGACGUGGCUGUAGCUGCAGCACGUUUGUUCAGCUGAUGCCAGAGGACGAGUUUAUAUUCCACCUGAUGAAAUAUACAUGAUCCCUUUAACAAGAGUGGCCAUAUGGCGAGCACUGUUGAUUUAUGAGACCUGCUGAUCCUCAACCAGCAACGGUUUUCAGCUCCAAGCCCCCAAAACAACCUCGAUGGACACUCGCAUUCAUUCAUUCAUUCGCUUACAUACAUUUGUACAGGUGUCAUCAAAUACACUGAAUUAUUAAAGCCUAAUGGACACAUUGGAGCUCGAGAAGUGUUCCGUGUACCAAUUCAAAAAGGAAAAAAAAGCAUUUGGGUUUUUGAGGGCGCUCUUAAUCAGUAUUGUUGUAGAUGAGAAUGUGAGUGGUGCAGAUUUUAGGAACAGAUUUUCCUCUGAUGUUUAGAAAAGAGCUUCUGCCAUCACAGGCAAAUGGAAGUUGUUUUUCCUGUGGUACAGUACAUUAAUGUUUCAUGUCUAAAGAUUGUCUAACAAGCUUAAAUUAAAACAUCUUUAUAACAC
Long non-coding RNA from Thalassophryne amazonica, 1620 nucleotides. RefSeq lists it as uncharacterized. The record is from RefSeq and is a predicted model, not a curated record. NCBI's taxonomy places the organism in Eukaryota, Metazoa, Chordata, Actinopteri, Batrachoidiformes, Batrachoididae. The transcript is spliced from 2 exons.